AGGACAAACGCUGGCGGCGUACCUAAGACAUGCAAGUCGAACGGAGUUGUCACUUUCGGGUGAGAGCUGAGUGGCGAACGGGUGAGUAACACGUGGGAACCUGUCGCGCAGUGGGGGAUAACGCGGGGAAACCGGCGCUAAGACCGCAUGUGGUUCUCCUGUUGAAGGAGGAAGAAAACCGUGGAGACACGGUGCUGUGUGAGGGGCCCGCGGCCGAUUAGCUGGUUGGUGGGGUAACGGCCUACCAAGGCAUCGAUCGGUAGCUGGUCUGAGAGGAUGUCCAGCCACACUGGGACUGAGACACGGCCCAGACUCCUACGGGAGGCAGCAGUUAGGAAAUUUUCCCAAUGGGCGCAAGCCUGAGGGAGUAACGCCGCGUGGGGGAUGACGGCUUUCGGGUUGUAAACCCCUUUCUGUGGGACGAGCAGAAGACGGUACCACAGGAAGAAGCCUCGGCUAACUACGUGCCAGCAGCCGC
Molecule: ribosomal RNA, 478 nt
Filed under: uncultured bacterium
Lineage: Bacteria
Description: SSU rRNA
Rfam family: Bacterial small subunit ribosomal RNA
Source: RNAcentral